UGCGCAGGCGGCCUGGUAAAUCAGGGGUGAAAUAUGACGGCUUAACCGUCAAACUGCCCCUGAAACUGUCAGGCUUGAGUCCGGGAGAGGAAGGUGGAAUUCCAGGUGUAGCGGUGAAAUGCGUAAAUAUCUGGAGGAACACCGGUGGCGAAGGCGGCCUUCUGGCCCGGAACUGACGCUCAGGCACGAAAGCUAGGGGAGCGAACAGGAUUAGAUACCCUGGUAGUC
Molecule: ribosomal RNA, 228 nt
Filed under: uncultured bacterium
Lineage: Bacteria
Description: partial 16S ribosomal RNA
Rfam family: Bacterial small subunit ribosomal RNA
Source: RNAcentral